GACGAACGCUGGCGGCGUGCUUAACACAUGCAAGUCGAACGGAAAGGCCCUGCUUUUGUGGGGUGCUCGAGUGGCGAACGGGUGAGUAACACGUGAGUAACCUGCCCUUGACUUUGGGAUAACUUCAGGAAACUGGGGCUAAUACCGGAUAGGAGCUCCUGCUGCAUGGUGGGGGUUGGAAAGUUUCGGCGGUUGGGGAUGGACUCGCGGCUUAUCAGCUUGUUGGUGGGGUAGUGGCUUACCAAGGCUUUGACGGGUAGCCGGCCUGAGAGGGUGACCGGCCACAUUGGGACUGAGAUACGGCCCAGACUCCUACGGGAGGCAGCAGUGGGGAAUAUUGCACAAUGGGCGGAAGCCUGAUGCAGCAGCGCCGCGUGCGGGAUGACGGCCUUCGGGUUAUAAACCGCUUUCGCCUGUGACGAAGCGUGAGUGACGGUAAUGGGUAAAGAAGCACCGGCUAACUACGUG
This 468-nucleotide ribosomal RNA is filed under the name uncultured bacterium. RNAcentral's name for it is "partial 16S ribosomal RNA". It matches the Rfam family "Bacterial small subunit ribosomal RNA", at positions 28 to 507 of the family's 1533-position model. The record is from RNAcentral.